AACGAACGCUGGCGGCAUGCCUAACACAUGCAAGUCGAACGAGACCUUCGGGUCUAGUGGCGCACGGGUGCGUAACGCGUGGGAACCUGCCCUUAGGUUCGGAAUAACUCCCCGAAAGGGGUGCUAAUACCGGAUAAUGUCUUCGGACCAAAGAUUUAUCGCCUUUGGAUGGGCCCGCGUUGGAUUAGCUAGUUGGUAGGGUAAAAGCCUACCAAGGCGACGAUCCAUAGCUGGUCUGAGAGGAUGAUCAGCCACACUGGGACUGAGACACGGCCCAGACUCCUACGGGAGGCAGCAGUGGGGAAUAUUGGAGAAUGGGCGAAAGUCUGAUCCAGCAAUGCCGCGUGAGUGAGGAAGGCCUUAGGGUUGUAAAGCUCUUUUACCCGGGAUGAUAAUGACAGUACCGGGAGAAUAAGCUCCGGCUAACUCCGUG
Molecule: ribosomal RNA, 433 nt
Filed under: uncultured bacterium
Lineage: Bacteria
Description: partial 16S ribosomal RNA
Rfam family: Bacterial small subunit ribosomal RNA
Source: RNAcentral